AUUCCAUUAUCAUAUAUUUUUAAAAGAACAAAAUUGGUGCCCCGUGACUCGAGAGAUUCACCCGCCAAAGGCCAGAGUUCCACGGGACUCUGACCGCCAACUUCCGGGAUUGAAUCGGACCGAGGACUUCUCAACCCCGCCAACUGCCUGGACCACAUUUCUACAAACAACACCGGCUUCUAAUUACUACAAAAUCAUAAACUGAGACAGGUUGGCUCCUAGCAAACACUCUGUUUCCUCCAAGAAGACAAGACAAACGGUCACAUCACUGACCACCGUCCAUCUGCAGUUUGCUUCGACUGCCAAGCACU
Non-coding RNA from Myodes glareolus (Bank vole), 311 nucleotides. The record is from RefSeq and is a predicted model, not a curated record. Lineage: Eukaryota; Metazoa; Chordata; Mammalia; Rodentia; Cricetidae.